UACGUAGGGUGCAAGCGUUUAAUCGGAAUUACUGGGCGUAAAGGGCGAGUAGGCGGCCUUCUAAGUCAGACGUGAAAUCCCCCGGCUUAACCUGGGAACUGCGUCUGAUACUGGGAGGCUUGAGUAUGGGAGAGGGAUGUAGAAUUCCAGGUGUAGCGGUGAAAUGCGUAGAUAUCUGGAGGAAUACCGGUGGCGAAGGCGGCAUCCUGGACCAUUACUGACGCUGAAUCGCGAAAGCUAGGGGAGCAAACGGG
This 254-nucleotide ribosomal RNA is filed under the name uncultured bacterium. RNAcentral describes it as "partial 16S ribosomal RNA". It matches the Rfam family "Bacterial small subunit ribosomal RNA", at positions 524 to 776 of the family's 1533-position model. The record is from RNAcentral.